UACGUAGGGUGCAAGCGUUGUCCGGAAUUAUUGGGCGUAAAGAGCUCGUAGGCGGUUUGUCGCGUCGGCUGUGAAAACCCGGGGCUCAACCCCGGGCCUGCAGUCGAUACGGGCAAACUAGAGUGCGGUAGGGGAGACUGGAAUUCCUGGUGUAGCGGUGAAAUGCGCAGAUAUCAGGAGGAACACCGGUGGCGAAGGCGGGUCUCUGGGCCGUAACUGACGCUGAGGAGCGAAAGCGUGGGGAGCGAACAGG
This 253-nucleotide ribosomal RNA is filed under the name uncultured bacterium. RNAcentral's name for it is "partial 16S ribosomal RNA". It matches the Rfam family "Bacterial small subunit ribosomal RNA", at positions 524 to 776 of the family's 1533-position model. The record is from RNAcentral.